UGGGUUGUGGCUCAGCGGUAGAGAACUUGCCCUGCAUGCAUGAGACAUUGGGAUCAAUCCUCAGCACCACAU
Molecule: transfer RNA, 72 nt
Filed under: Marmota monax (woodchuck)
Lineage: Eukaryota; Metazoa; Chordata; Mammalia; Rodentia; Sciuridae
Description: tRNA.Ala
Source: RNAcentral